GAACAUCAUUUGGUUGCGCCGCGCGAAAACGAUGUUGUCCCAAUCACUGAAGCUGGUGGUUGUUCAUCGGAAAACGAUGGCGUCAAAGGAGGAAGAAGAAGACCGAGUUUGGUGCUUUUGUUUAGCGUUUUGAGCUUCUUCCCUUCCCUCACCCUCCGCCACUUAACCAAAUGCUCUCUACUCUAACCUUCGCCGUCAAAGACAUGUUCGUUUCGUUUUCGUUUACACUUUCAAUUCCAUUUGUGAUUUGUUUAUUGGGAUUGUUAUUGCAGAUUUGAUGUGAACCCCCCUCUGCUCAGCAAUGGUGCUGCUUGUGUUGGCAAGACUGUCAUGGAUGAAUUCUCUUUUGGGAUUUCUCAUUGCUGAUUCAGAACAAGCUGUUGCUGUCUUCUUGUAUCCCUGGAGGUUCUUCCAGUGGUUCAGCUGUAGCAGUUGCUGCUGGCCUAGUUGACUUUGCUAUUGGUACUGAUACUACAGGUAGUGUUAGAAUUCCAGCAACAUUCUGUGGUAUUCUUGGAUUUCGUCCAUCUCAUGGAAUUGUAUCCACCAUUGGAGUUCUUUCAAACGUUCAAAGCUUGGACACUGUUGGACUUGCUAAGUCAGCUUUUUGGUGUUGAUAAUGAGAGUUUCAUGUUGCUAUUAAUGAGGAUUGUCAUUAUCUUGGAUUUUGAUGGAAAAAAUUAGAAUGCUAUGUAAGACAAGUGUCUCCUUCAAGAAUUGUUGAUACCUUCGGGAUUGUUAAUCGAGUCCUAAAUUUGGCAAUAGUACUCCUAAAUCAGUUUUCAUUUCAUGGUUUCUUCC
This is a long non-coding RNA of Lotus japonicus, 801 nucleotides long. RefSeq lists it as uncharacterized. Lineage: Eukaryota; Viridiplantae; Streptophyta; Magnoliopsida; Fabales; Fabaceae. The record is from RefSeq and is a predicted model, not a curated record. The transcript is spliced from 4 exons.